CUCUAAUACAGUGUAAUGAUACAAUCUUGACUCGGGGGGUUGGCAACGACUUCAAGGAGUUGACUUUUGAGUUGGCCCUUGAGGCAUGAGUAGGUAUGUAACAGGAGGUGAGGGUUUCUCAGCUGAGGAACAGCGUUGAGUAAAGGCAGGAAACCAGUCCGAUGUCCCUGGAAUAUGACAUGUGUGAACAGAAGUUACUGAAGAGAGGGCUGGCAAAGCGCAGGGGGAGGACAGGCUGUAUAGGGCCUUUAUCCUGCAGGCCAUGGGAGACAAUUAUUAGCUGAUAAAUAACAAAUACGAGCUGAUGUUUGCGCCCCUACGCUAUCUAGGCUAGGCACUGUUUAGGAAUUUAGUUCUCUCACCAACCCACUGAAAGACGAGAUAGUAGCCUCACCUUACAGCCAAAGAAACUGAGGCUUUGAGUAGUUAAUUUGCAUUCUUGGAUCUCUUUUCUAUUAUCAAACUGACUCCUGUUAUUUACACAUUUUUCUCAAGUUCUUAGGAUUGAAAAUGAGCUAUUUCCAAGGGAUAAACCAUACAAAUUGAGGCCCUCUUAGUUCCUUAGAAGGAAGUUGGCUGUUCCUUGACCAGUCCCACGGAGCGGAGGAGCGCUGGCCGCCUUCUGCUCCCGAAGGAUCUUUCUGCUGUCCCCGAGCGCUCCCUCGGUCGCAGACACCUGACUUCAGGAAUGUCAUUAAACAGCUUUAGCAGAAAUAGGGAUGAACAAAGACCAAACUCACGAGAGAAUCAAAUACAUCAGCUAAAAUUAUCAGACAGGGGCCAGCCUGUGGCGCCCUCAGCUUCGGGGGCCUAGGAUUUCACUGGUUCGGAUCCUGGGCGCCACGUGGCACCGCUCACCAGGCCAUGCUGAGGCGGUCUCCCACAUGCCACAACUAGAAGGACUCGCAACUAAAAAUAGACAGCUGUGUACUGGGGGGCUUUGGGGAGAAAAAGGGAAAAAAAUCUUAAAAAACAAUUAUCAGACAAAAUUUUUUCAAAGGAUAAUGGUCUGUGCUUCCUUCUUUAGGUGUUGUACCCUGUGGUUCUGGGGGCUCAGAUGUAAAUAUGAUUUGAGCGUAUUGCCUGCUGGGAGGCAUUAAAGAAAGGAAACAGUUUCUGGAGACUACGUUUCUUUCCUCUUCUGUAACUUCAGUUUGUCGCCCUGAAAGCGGACAGUCUGACAGGGACACCACCUGAGAAACACGAGCUCACAUUUUCGUGGGGGAUGCAUGUGGGCCGGACGCAGAAAGGCUGAAAGCUAGAUCCCGGGCACAGCUAAACAGCGAUUUGGAAACCCUAAAACCGAGGGGGCAAGAACGCACAAGAAUGGCUCAUUUUCCACUCCUACCGUGCACUCCAGAUUUUCCGUACCUCAACGCCAGACGCUGUCCAACUCUUAUUAUACUAAAACCUCAGGUCGAUGCUUUUCUUAGCGCUCGGCAGCACUGGAACCCCGAGGCACGCAAGAGUGCGGCAGGCGCAUCCGGUCGAGCUCGCGGGACCACUCAAGGGCCCGGGGCGCCCGGCGGGCUUCCGGGCACGCCCCGCCUCGCCCGCCGCUCCGGCGCCGGGGGAGCGGCGUCUCCUAGGAGACCGCGGGGCACGAGUGCGCAGGCGCGCAGCCGGCGGCUGAUGCAACCGCGCGCGCAGCCGCCCGCGCAGGAAG
Equus asinus (donkey) is the source of this 1666-nucleotide long non-coding RNA. NCBI's taxonomy places the organism in Eukaryota, Metazoa, Chordata, Mammalia, Perissodactyla, Equidae. The record is from Ensembl.